UUUUUUUUUAAUUUUAUAAUGGUUAAUUAAUUAUUAAGGUGAGGUUAUUUAUUAUUAAUUCUUAAAUUGGACAAUAUUAGAUAAUCCUGUUUUUUGUCAUUUAUAUAAAUUAAGUACCAGAAUAGUCGGAUAGGCUUGAUAAAAUUAGUACUUUAAUUGUUGUUAAUAUAAAUUGUGUUUAAUGUGUGAAAUGAGAAAAAAAAAAGAGAUUUUAGUUUUUUUUGUAAAAUGUGUAUUUGUUUUUUUUUUUUUGAUUUAUAUUGGAAAUAAAUUUUAAUGAAUUGGAUUAGUACCCAAGUAAUUUUUGGUAAUGAGUGCAGAAGUAUAAUGAAUAUGGAAAUUGAAAUUAUUUUUGGGAGAUUUCAAAUUUAUUUUUGGAGGUUGAUUUGUAAUUGAGAACCCUCAUUUCUUACCAUUAUUAUAGGGGUAUGUAUGAUUGUUUAUUUUUGUUGUUAAGCAUUUUUAAAGAUGAUAAUUUGUGUUUGUAAAAACAGAUAAAUAUAUACUAUAUAUAAUGGUGUUUAUUGACCUACAUUAUUUUUUUAAUUUUGGAUCUUUUUGUGAAGAUGAAAAGUGAAAAUGGAAAAGACAGUAAAAUAAUUUUGAUGUUUAUUUGAAGAUUUUUUUGAAAUGGCACAAAUCAUCCAUCAAUUGCUUAAAGAGUAAUAAGUUGUAGUAGAGUUAAGGUAGGGGAACCUGUUUUAAGUUAAGAGUUAGAAGAAAGGAGGGAGA
RNAcentral lists this non-coding RNA (732 nucleotides) under Wellcomia compar. Lineage: Eukaryota; Metazoa; Nematoda; Chromadorea; Rhabditida; Oxyuridae. The record is from RNAcentral.